AAUCAACGCUGGCGGCGUGCCUAACACAUGCAAGUCGAACGCGAAAGUCCCGCAAGGGAUUAGUAGAGUGGCAAACGGGUGAGUAACACGUGGGUGACCUGCCUUCGAGUGGGGGAUAACGUCCCGAAAGGGACGCUAAUACCGCAUAACAUCCUGCCUUUUAAGAGGUGGAGAUCAAAGCUGGGGACCGUAAGGCCUGGCGCUGGAAGAGGGGCCCGCGUCUGAUUAGCUAGUUGGUGAGGAACGGCUCACCAAGGCAACGAUCAGUAUCCGGCCUGAGAGGGCGGACGGACACACUGGGACUGAGACACGGCCCAGACUCCUACGGGAGCAGCAGUGGGGAAUUGUUCGCAAUGGGCGCAAGCCUGACGACGCAACGCCGCGUGGAGGAUGAAGACCUUCGGGUCGU
This 409-nucleotide ribosomal RNA is filed under the name uncultured bacterium. RNAcentral's name for it is "bacterial SSU rRNA". It matches the Rfam family "Bacterial small subunit ribosomal RNA", at positions 32 to 426 of the family's 1533-position model. The record is from RNAcentral.